Homo sapiens (human) is the source of this 2900-nucleotide long non-coding RNA. NCBI's taxonomy places the organism in Eukaryota, Metazoa, Chordata, Mammalia, Primates, Hominidae. The record is from Ensembl.
GUUCUGCCCAGUGGCCUGGCGCAGGAAAGGUGACCCAGUAGUUCAGCCUGUCCCAGCUGCCUGCCCCAGCACCAUCCCAGACCCCUUUCCCUGGGGCCCACCUUGGCCCUGAGGAAGGCCAGAGCUCGGCUGCUGUUCUCCAGGAAGUGCACACGCAGGCGGCCCCGGCUCGGGGGUGGCAGGGCCUCCCCUGAGAUGAGCUCCAGCAGCCGCAGGAGGUGGAUGCCGUCAGCCAGCUCUGUGUACAGGUUCCGGAUCUUGAUGCCCGCCUGGGGAGGGGACAGGGGUAAGUAUGGGGUCAGCCCAGCCUCACCUGUCCUCCCAUCCUGGGACCUGAGAGGUACGACCCAGAGCAGCUGCUUUGGAAGAAGGAGCUCUGGCCUCAGCUUGGCCUCAGGCAGAUGACCCCACAGCUCACCCCGGAGGCCCACUGGCCAGAGCUGGGGGCCUGGUAUGGGUGGGCUGUGGGUCACAGCUGGCUAUACUCACCUGGCCGCACUGGAAGACGUUAUUGAUCCACUUGGUGAAAGUCUUCUCCUGCAUCUGCAUGUGCCGGGCCUGUAGCUUGCGAAUGUGGCCCGUCUCGUACUGAGAGUCCAUGGUGAGACUUGGACUGGGCGGGACCCGGAGUUCUGUGCUGGGCCUCCUGCUGCGGUGCCCUGCAGCCCCGAGGAGCUCCCGGGGACUGUGGGGCUGACCAGCCAUCAGCCCUGCAGACUUUGGGGAUGAGGAGCUGCUGGAUGGCUCCCUAAACCUGGAGGGCAUGCAGAUUAGGGGAUGAUGUGAAUGGAGAUGGCCCCUCUACCAGGGGCCUGGGGUCCCGCCUUGCCAGACUGUCCUCACAUUUCAUGGGGGUUGCAGCUUGGAGCCCAGCCAGGUAAGGGCCAGUGCUUCUGGUCCCCUGUGCUUGAAUGGCCCAGGGCCCCCUUUGCCCCACCCCACCUUCCAGAUUCUUCUUCUCAGAGCCCCUGCUGCCAGGUCCCUCCACCACAGUGACUGGGACAGGUGGAAGGAAGACAGGAAACUGCUUACCUUGGUGAUGCCUGGGUCCCACAGAGACGGCUCUGCUGGACGGAUGGAGAUGGUAGAUAGCAGGGGCUGCUUACCUUGGUGAUGCCUGGGUUCCACAGAGGCGGCCCAGCUGGACGGAUGGAGAUGGCAGAUAGCAGGGGCUGUGGAGGGAGGGAGAGGGACAUCAGGAGAGGCCAAGGCUGGAGCAGGGCUGCACCACAGCCCUCCCCUUGAGCCAGCGUGCUGGGGUGACGGCACACAGGCGGCAUUGUCCUCCCACCUGCCACAGGGCGUGGCCCAGACAGGGAGGGGGUGGUUCAGGAAUGCUCCAGGGCCAUUGCCAGAUGAUGUCCUCCUUCAUCAUCCUCCCUUCCCCGCCAGCAACUUCUCCAACUCCAGGUGGGGGUCCUGGCUCCCAGGACGCAGAGGCCCAUGGAGCGGCCCUGCCACCGCAUGGGGUGCUGCAGUCUGCGUAGGAGGUACCAAAGGGCAGAGCCUCUGUGGGAAGCCUGUGGACGCACUUCCCAAUCUGAGACUGCCCUCUGUACCCUCUUGGGGCCUCUCUGUGAGCACCCAGGGCGAGGGGAUGAGGGAGCGUCCUGGGCCGUGGUCUUCUCAUUCACCCCCAGGGAACAGCCCAUAGACUGAGGGCCUCACAGACCCUGGGCUUGGCUUUCCAGGCCCUGCCAGAGUGCAGCCUGCCUAGCCCGGGGCUGAAGGGUAGGCUCCCUGGAGGAAGGGGUGACCUGGAACUGCGAGGGCUGUGGAGUCUCCUCCAAAAUUAGAGACACGGUGUUAACUCUGGGCUCCACAGAGCUGGCCGUGGCCCGGGGCUCGGAGGCAGGGGUGCAGAGGGAGCUGGUGGGCGCCCAUCCCUUCCUCCCCGAGCAGCCGUGGACUACAUGCCAGAGUGAAGGCGAGUUCUAAUUCUGGGGGUCUCACCCGCCUCUGGCUAAACUCAGGGUAGCAGUGUGGGCUGGGGUGUGUGUGUGUGGGUGUCUUCCAGCGGCCCUGGAGCCUCUGAAGCGACAGCCCGCUCCUCAGGGAGGCGCUCCUGGCAGCCACAGCCCACAGCAGGACAGCCGCUCAGCGCGCCCUUGAGAGCUGGGCUAGGGAUGAGUCACACUUGAACCGCCUGGGCCCACUGCAGGCAGUCAGGGGUGACGCUGAGAGGUGCCGUGGUCUCGGGUGGGGUGCGGCUUCCUGCGUCUGAGAGACGCUUCCUCUCCUGCUGUCCUCUCCCUGCCAGGCCCCUUCUGCAGCGGCUGGCUUCCAGACACCCUGCGUCCCUCCCUUGCUCGCAGCAGUUGCUGUGGCGGUCCUCCCGUGCACCCCCCCUUCUGCCCUCACUGCCCCUGGGGGUCCUCAUCACGGACCCCCUAACUCGGCAUCCUGGACACCACCACCCCGCACCUUUCCACAGUGCAGCUCUGCUCGUGCCUGUGAAGCCUCCCACAGCCUGGGAAGGAAAAUCCAGACUUGCCAGACCUUGCCUCAGCCAGGCCUUGGAAGCCUGCCAGCUUACCUAACCAGUAAGACCCUCAGCCCAUGGAGUCCUGUGUGAUGUUGUGAGCGUGGGAGGACAGACUGAACUGCUCGGCCCGUGGAGUCCUGUGUGAUGUUGUGAGCGGGGAGGACAGACUGAACUGCGUGGUGCUUCGCACAUAGACCUCAACAGGGAUUGGCAUUUUGAAGCUGUUGGCGGGGGCUGUGGACUGCUUUUCUUCCUUUCUAGCUCAACGGCAGCUAAAGCCACUGCAUACAAUGCAAGGACUGGCUCCUGUUUGGCCACGACUGAUUGCAGCCCCUGGUGAAAUGAGAACCCUGUGGGUCGGAACAAAGUUUGGAUUAUUUAUGUUGCAAGUAACUAAAAUCUCAAGUGAAACUGG